GAAAUUAGACAGCAUUAAGAUAUAGCCAGGAGGAGAAGAAUACAGUUCCUGAUGUUCUCUCAACCUCUUUUCCAACGACAGUAAAGAAGACAAGUUACCUUCCUUUUUCAUAUGAAUCUUGAUACUUCAGCUGUGAUACUUAGACAGGACCACUCAAGACAGACCACUGGUGCUCUCAUAUGUAACAGCAACUCCAUGUGGACUACACUGACUUCCAGUGGAGAUGCUGUUACUUUUGAUAGCCUCCCAAAGACUGCGGAGCAGGUGCUACUGGAAAUGCGUUCAUCCAGCACUCAAGCUAACAAAACAGCUUGUGUUUUGAAAUACAAUGACAGACAUGGAAUGAAUGACUCAUGCCCUAAUUAGAAUAAAAUCACUGUUACUGAAGACAGCCCAAUGCGCUGGUCAGAAUUUUCUGUGCUGAUACACAUAAUUUCAUUUAAAAAAAGAAAGUGCUUUUAAGUAAUUUUAAAUAAGACCAUGGCCAAACGAACAGAGGAGCAAAUAAAGACGUAUGGCCAUGCAAGGUUACUUUAAUAACAAAGGUAACUUUACUAGUGACAGAAAUACCAUGCUUAAAGGUAUUAGAUAAGAAGAGAGUUUUUUUCUUUUAAACUCUCUUUUGGGGAAAAGAAAUUCAGCAGUUCUUUAAGAAUCUUAUGCAUCCCCCAUAAAUGCUAUGAACAAACAUCUCUGUCAUUUAUUUAUCCUGAAAUGUAUCAAUACUGACAAAAAAUAAAAUGACAGCACUAGUCAUUUCUACAAAUAACUACAGACACUACCUAGUUUACAAGUUGCUAACACUUGAGAAGAACACAUUUCAGAGUGACCUACAGCAAGACUCUUCCUGAUUUAACAGCAGCUGAUGUCAUUUGGAAUGUCCCACAAAAAAAAGUAAA
Anas platyrhynchos (mallard) is the source of this 899-nucleotide non-coding RNA. The record is from RefSeq and is a predicted model, not a curated record. NCBI's taxonomy places the organism in Eukaryota, Metazoa, Chordata, Aves, Anseriformes, Anatidae.